CAAGGAAUUUUCGUCAAUGGGCGCAAGCCUGAACGAGCAACGCCGCGUGGAGGAUGACGGCCUUCGGGUUGUAAACUCCUUUUUCGGGGGACGAUAAUGACGGUACCCCGGGAAUAAGGCUCGGCUAACUCUGUGCCAGCAGCCGCGGUAAUACAGAGGAGCCAAGCGUUGUCCGGAUUGACUGGGCGUAAAGCGCACGCAGGCGGUUGCGCGCGUGGGGUGUGAAAUCUGGCCGCUUAACGGCCAGGCGCCAUCCCAUACGGCGCGACUGGAGGGCUGCAGAGGUCGAUGGAAUUGCCGGUGUAGUGGUGAAAUGCGUAGAGAUCGGCAGGAACACCCAGGGGGAAACCAGUCGACUGGGCAGCACCUGACGCUGAGGUGCGAGAGCGUGGGGGAGCGAACCGGAUUAGAUACCCGGGUAGUCCACGCCGUAAACGAUGGCCACUCGGCCUUUGGAGGCGGAAUCUCCGUCUUGGGGGCCUUAGCUAACGCGGGAAGUGGCCCG
This 505-nucleotide ribosomal RNA is filed under the name uncultured bacterium. RNAcentral's name for it is "bacterial SSU rRNA". It matches the Rfam family "Bacterial small subunit ribosomal RNA", at positions 355 to 871 of the family's 1533-position model. The record is from RNAcentral.